This 442-nucleotide ribosomal RNA is filed under the name uncultured bacterium. Its description in RNAcentral is "partial 16S ribosomal RNA". It matches the Rfam family "Bacterial small subunit ribosomal RNA", at positions 338 to 795 of the family's 1533-position model. The record is from RNAcentral.
CCUACGGGCGGCAGCAGUGGGGGAUAUUGGACAAUGGCGGGAACCCUGAUCCAGCGACGCCGCGUGAGUGAAGAAGUAGCUCGGUAUGUAAAGCUCUAUCAGCAGGGAGGAAGAAAUGACGGUACCUGAGUAAGAAGCCCCGGCUAACUACGUGCCAGCAGCCGCGGUAAUACGGAGGGGGCAAGCGUUAUCCGGAAUUACUGGGUGUAAAGGGAGCGUAGACGGUGAUGUAAGUCUGGAGGGAAAGGCGGGGGCGCAACCCCCGGACUGCUCUGGAAACUAUGUGACUGGAGUGCAGGAGAGGUGAGCGGAAUGCGUAGUGUAGCGGUGAAAUGCGUAGAUAUUAGGAGGAACACCAGUGGCGAAGGCGGCUUACUGGACUGUAACUGACGUUGAGGCUCGAAAGCGUGGGGAGCAAACAGGAUUAGAUACCCGAGUAGUC